Molecule: long non-coding RNA, 659 nt
Filed under: Homo sapiens (human)
Lineage: Eukaryota; Metazoa; Chordata; Mammalia; Primates; Hominidae
Description: HSALNT0359919
Source: RNAcentral
AGUAACUGGCAGAGGUUACCUCGUAAAUAGCAUGACCUCUGCUAAAAAAAGUAGGAUGAAUCCUAAGGAAGUUAAUAGCUGAAGGCUGCAGCUACUAGAUUCCAGAGAGUGGCCUGGGGCACAAGAUACUCAACCAGAGCAGACAGUGUCAGCCUCUGUCAUGGAAAGAUUGAACAGGAGAAUCUGGAACCAGGAGUGAGCAGAGCUGGCCCCAGGCCUUGGUGGCUGUGUACUAGUUCUGUGACCUGCAAUCAGUCACUUAACUUCUGUGAGCUCCUCUCUUUCCGUCUGUAAAAAAGGAAUAUGUACUACCCACUUCCUGAGUAGAUGUUGAAGAUGUUGUAAAAGGUUCGAGUCAACCAAUUAAAAGCAAUAGAUCACAUGAAGAUGAGUAUAUCUUCUGUUUGUUGGGACAUAAUCCAGAGAGGAUCUUUCUCCCCAGAUAUUAUGGGAUGGCCACAUUUUACAGCUGAGAGUGACAAGGCUUAGAAACUAAACAUAUAAGGUCCUGCCCCAUCUCCUGGAAGAAGGAAUGCUACACAGAGAGGCUAAGAAGACUCUGGACAGUGCAGAAUCUGGAGCUAGAGAAAAAUUUAAAAAGCCACAAGGAUGUGAAUUGCUGAGCCUGAGAUAGAAGAGAUGAUUUGGACAUGGCCAAC